GACAGAGGCCACAAGCGUUAGGCGGAAUCACUGGGCUUAAAGCGUGUGUAGGCGGAUCGUUAAGUGCCUUGUGAAAUCCCCCGGCUCAACCGGGGAACGGCUGGGCAUACUGGCGGUCUUGAGCUGCCUAGGGGCGACUGGAACAAACGGUGGAGCGGUGAAAUGCGUAGAUAUCGUUUGGAACGCCAAUGGUGAAAACAGGUCGCUGGGGGCAAGCUGACGCUGAGACACGAAAGCCAGGGGAG
Molecule: ribosomal RNA, 245 nt
Filed under: uncultured bacterium
Lineage: Bacteria
Description: partial 16S ribosomal RNA
Rfam family: Bacterial small subunit ribosomal RNA
Source: RNAcentral